RNAcentral lists this ribosomal RNA (497 nucleotides) under uncultured bacterium. RNAcentral's name for it is "partial 16S ribosomal RNA". It matches the Rfam family "Bacterial small subunit ribosomal RNA", at positions 28 to 507 of the family's 1533-position model. The record is from RNAcentral.
GAUGAACGCUGGCGGCGUGCCUAAUACAUGCAAGUCGAGCGAACAGACGCGGAGCUUGCUCCUCUGACGUUAGCGGCGGACGGGUGAGUAACACGUGGAUAACCUACCUAUAAGACUGGGAUAACUUCGGGAAACCGGAGCUAAUACCGGAUAAUAUCUUGAACCGCAUGGUUCAAUAGUGAAAGACGGUUUUGCUGUCACUUAUAGAUGGAUCCGCGCCGCAUUAGCUAGUUGGUAAGGUAACGGCUUACCAAGGCAACGAUGCGUAGCCGACCUGAGAGGGUGAUCGGCCACACUGGAACUGAGACACGGUCCAGACUCCUACGGGAGGCAGCAGUAGGGAAUCUUCCGCAAUGGGCGAAAGCCUGACGGAGCAACGCCGCGUGAGUGAUGAAGGUCUUCGGAUCGUAAAACUCUGUUAUUAGGGAAGAACAAAUGUGUAAGUAACUAUGCACGUCUUGACGGUACCUAAUCAGAAAGCCACGGCUAACUACGUG